This 191-nucleotide ribosomal RNA is filed under the name uncultured Bacteroidota bacterium. RNAcentral's name for it is "uncultured Bacteroidetes bacterium partial 16S ribosomal RNA". It matches the Rfam family "Bacterial small subunit ribosomal RNA", at positions 340 to 525 of the family's 1533-position model. Lineage: Bacteria; Pseudomonadati; Bacteroidota. The record is from RNAcentral.
UACGGGAGGCAGCAGUGAGGAAUAUUGGUCAAUGGGCGCAAGCUGAACCACCAUGCCGCGUGCAGGAUGACGGUCCUAUGGAUUGUAAACUGCUAUUCUGUCACAGGAAGAAACACUCCCUCGUGAGGGAGCUUGACGGUACUGUACAGAAUAAGGAUCGGCUAACUCACGUGCCAGCAGCCGCGGUAAUA